Molecule: non-coding RNA, 77 nt
Organism: Podarcis lilfordi (Lilford's wall lizard)
Lineage: Eukaryota; Metazoa; Chordata; Lepidosauria; Squamata; Lacertidae
Source: the annotation of a GenBank genome assembly
GGAAAUGAAUGUGGUUUAGUGGGAGAGCAUCUCCUUCACAUGCAGAAAGUGCCAGGUUCAAAGCCCUGGAAUCUCCA